UUCUGGCUCAGGAUGAACGCUGGCGGCGUGCUUAACACAUGCAAGUCGAACGGAGUUAUUGGAAGCUUGCUUUAAAUAACUUAGUGGCGGACGGGUGAGUAACGCGUGGGUAACCUGCCUUAUACCGGGGGACAACAGUUGGAAACGACUGCUAAUACCGCAUAAGCGCACAAGAAGGCAUCUUCUAGUGUGAAAAAACUCCGGUGGUAUAAGAUGGACCCGCGUCUGAUUAGCCAGUUGGCGGUGUAACGGACCACCAAAGCGACGAUCAGUAGCCGGCCUGAGAGGGCAAACGGCCACAUUGGGACUGAGACACGGCCCAAACUCCUACGGGAGGCAGCAGUGGGGAAUAUUGCACAAUGGAGGAAACUCUGAUGCAGCGACGCCGCGUGAGUGAAGAAGUAUCUCGGUAUGUAAAGUUCUAUCAGCAGGAAAGAAAAUGACGGUACCUGACUAAGAAGCCCCGGCUAACUACGUGCCAGCCGCUGC
RNAcentral lists this ribosomal RNA (489 nucleotides) under uncultured bacterium. RNAcentral's name for it is "bacterial SSU rRNA". It matches the Rfam family "Bacterial small subunit ribosomal RNA", at positions 17 to 518 of the family's 1533-position model. The record is from RNAcentral.